This 1036-nucleotide long non-coding RNA is filed under the name Cricetulus griseus (Chinese hamster). RNAcentral describes it as "lncRNA (ENSCGRG00015020350.2)". Lineage: Eukaryota; Metazoa; Chordata; Mammalia; Rodentia; Cricetidae. The record is from RNAcentral.
CCCAUUCUGUGAUACUAUGCCUUUGCAAACUCAAUCUCCCAAGGGACUCUGCAAGCUAGUCAUGUGACAUACUUCUGACCAAUGAGAGGCCAGCAGAAGUCUUUGUGAGAGGCUGCCAGGAUUUACCGGUUCCAGUCUCUUUUGCUUUCUGUUUUCUCUUUCUUCCUGUCUGGAAUGUAGCUGUAGUGCCUGAAAGGGCUGCGGCUAUUUUGCAAACCUGGGGUGGAAGUUACCUGUUUCUGAUGGCAGAGAGGUGCUAGAAGGUGCCAGGGUCCGUGCAAGUCCGAAUCAUCAUGCCAGCCUUCUCCGGAUUCUGGCCACUACCGGGAGCGGAUUCCCUGAGGUCCGCCUAAUGUUUGGUUGUGGAUCUCUGCAUCUGUUUCCAUCUGUUGCUGGAUGAAGCCUCUCUGAUGACAGUUGGGCUAGGCACCAAUCUCCAGGAGCCAGAGGCGCCACACAUCAAAAGGUGGUUUUGAAGGGGCUGCCCCCAUCACUCCUAAUGACCUCCAGUGACAUUUUGUGUGUCCACCCUGCAACUUUGGGUUUCCCUGGUUUUGAAGUCCUGGUUCUCAUGGAAUUCACAGAAGAAGAAAUGCACAUGUUCAUGUCUGUGCUUUCCAUCAACCCAGCUGGCGGAGAACCUUCAGGGUUGGAGAAAUGCCACUCCCCACCUCACAGAAAGGGGAAACUGAGGCUUGGAGACAAAGUGCACUUUGAACAUAGAGAUGAGGUGGAACGGGGACUCCGGUAUUGUGCCCACCCUGCUGCUCUGUGGCUAAAGAAUGCUGCCUUUCUCCAGAUGGUGAUUAAUAACUAACUUGCGCCUUGCCCUCUGCGGCGGCCCCUCCCAGAAGACUGGGGUUGUUUUCUUAUCUAAAUAAACUGCACAAACAUGGCCUCAUCCAUUACUCAUGUUGUUGCCAUCAAACCCAUGGGCUUCAGACAUGCAUGUUACAUACCAGCCCAGGGCAAUGGAGUUUUAGACCCUGACAGCAAAACUCAAAGUCUCUUUCCUUGGUACCCCAUCUGCUUAUUG